GAGAGAGAGAGAGAGAGAGGCUGCUAUGCUAUCGGAAGCACGGAGCCUUCCGUGCUUCUAGUUCGUUUUCGAUGUUGCGACUUUCGAAUCGUCAAUCUGCUCCGUUAAACUUGAUCUAGAGUAUUUGAAGUACCUAGAAAAUAAAUUUUAUGAUUUUACGAUAUCAUUUGCCUAGUGAACGAUGGGGCUCAAAAUCAACGGCUGAAAAUAAAAAUCUUACAAAAUAUAAUAAUACGACAUUAAAAUUUUAAAUCAAAGAUAUUGAUCUUGUUUUAUAUAGUAGUGCAGGUUUAGAUUGGGUAUUUUUGGACUCAUCUCCAGUUGAUGCAUACAUACAGUAGCGGUAGUUCUGCAUUUAUAGUUCUUGUUC
This 370-nucleotide long non-coding RNA is filed under the name Ananas comosus (pineapple). Its description in RNAcentral is "long non-coding RNA (ACOM_LNC016472)". Lineage: Eukaryota; Viridiplantae; Streptophyta; Magnoliopsida; Poales; Bromeliaceae. The record is from RNAcentral.